This 488-nucleotide ribosomal RNA is filed under the name uncultured bacterium. RNAcentral describes it as "bacterial SSU rRNA". It matches the Rfam family "Bacterial small subunit ribosomal RNA", at positions 8 to 518 of the family's 1533-position model. The record is from RNAcentral.
AGAGUUUGAUUAUGGCUCAGGACGAACGCUGGCGGCAUGCCUAACACAUGCAAGUCGAACGGGGGUAGCAAUACCCUAGUGGCGAACGGGUGAGUAACACAUAAGCAAUCUGCCCUUCACAGGGGGAUAACAGCGGGAAACUGCUGCUAAUACCGCAUAAGACCACGGUACCGCAUGGUACAGGGGUAAAAACGAAUCAGUGGUGAAGGAUGAGCUUAUGUCCCAUUAGCUAGUUGGUGAGAUAACAGCCCACCAAGGCGACGAUGGGUAGCCGACCUGAGAGGGUGAUCGGCCACACUGGAACUGAGACACGGUCCAGACUCCUACGGGAGGCAGCAGUGGGGAAUAUUGGGCAAUGGAGGAAACUCUUACCCAGCAAUACCGCGUGAGUGAAGAAGGUCUUCGGAUUGUAAAGCUCUUUGAUUGGGGACGAAGAAAGUGACGGUACCCAAAGAACAAGCCCCGGCUAACUACGUGCCAGCCGCCGC